This 490-nucleotide ribosomal RNA is filed under the name uncultured Geotrichum. RNAcentral describes it as "eukaryotic LSU rRNA". It matches the Rfam family "Eukaryotic large subunit ribosomal RNA", at positions 141 to 667 of the family's 3401-position model. The record is from RNAcentral. Lineage: Eukaryota; Fungi; Ascomycota; Dipodascomycetes; Dipodascales; Dipodascaceae.
AGUUGUAAUUUGUAGAUUGUAUCUUGAGAGCGGAUUAAAGUCUGUUGGAACACAGCGCCUUAGAGGGUGACAGCCCCGUAAAAUCUAUUCUCAUUGUAAGAUACUUUCGAAGAGUCGAGUUGUUUGGGAAUGCAGCUCUAAGUGGGAGGUAAAUUCCUUCUAAAGCUAAAUAUUGACGAGAGACCGAUAGCGAACAAGUACUGUGAAGGAAAGAUGAAAAGCACUUUGAAAAGAGAGUGAAAAAGUACGUGAAAUUGUUAAAAGGGAAGGGUAUUGAAUCAGACUUGGUGCUGUUGUUCAACUGUGUUUCGGCACAGUGUACUCAGCAGUACUAGGCCAAGGUGGGGUGUUUGGGAGUGAAAAAGAAGUUGGAACGUAACUCUUCGGAGUGUUAUAGCCUACUUUCAUAGCUCCUCAGGCGCCUCAGGACUGCGCUUCGGCAAGGACCUUGGCAUAAUGAUUCUAUACCGCCCGUCUUGAAACACGGACC